AGGGAAGAGGACAGGAAGUGGAACCAGACUGGAGAUGCUGCGCUGGGAUGGUCAGGUCCUCAGCAAACAGAGACCCCAGACCCUCCCAAAGUCACCUCAGCCACAUGCACAUCUUUAACACUCAGUGAAACUAAAGCCAAGCUAUAACUGAACUCCUCUCCUACAGUCUCACACACCAACUGCUCCAUGGCAAGUUAUUCAGUGACUAUAACUUGGAUGCCUCUUGCUUCACUUGGAUGCCAGCCACAGCAUUCCUGGGAUCCUUUGCCACUUAAAUGAGUUGGGGCUUGGAUAUGGGCCAUGGAAGGGGCAUGGGAAGCUGAGGCUCAGAGAAGAGAAAAGCAGCUGGAAACUCUUGGCUGUGCCGGCAUCGCAGAAUCUAGGUACCACUGCCCCCUUGUGGUGAUCUAGGAAUUCUCUGUGACUUGUCACCCAUGUCAGGACUCAGAGCGAGUCCCUGAACCAAAGAUGGAGAAAGCAAGUCUCAAGGGAGUACUGCCAGGAAAUGGAGAAGAAAAGACCAGAUUUAGUGUAAGACAGCCCUCCGUUUACAGCCUGGUUCUAUUUCUUACUGGUUGUAAAACCCUAGACAAGUGGCCUCACCUAUUGGGGGGUGCAUUACUGGAAUUGAACUCAGGGCCUCACACGUGCUAAGCAAGUGCUUUACCACUGAGCUACAUCUUCAGCCCUUUUUAUUUUACUAUGAGACAAGGUUUCACUAAGUUUCUCAGGUCUGCCUUAGACUUGCAAUUGCAUCCUCCUGCCUCAGCCUCCCGCACAGCUGGGAUUACAGGCAUAGUUUCUGACCCUGUAAAGUGGAAUCUGGCAUCUUGUAGGCUUGUAGAACAAUUCUACUGAAAACAAUACAAAAUGCUGGGAUACUGGUAUAACCGGGGUAAGGAGUUAUCAGAAAAAAAUGGAAAAACAGUAACUUAGAUAAACCAAGCAGGAAAUUUGUGCUCUAGGGACAUUUCCUGAUUCUGACUAGGAUCAACUGUUGUUUUCAAGACUUCUGCAGGCAAAGAGCACAAGUAAAGUCCACAGUACAAGGCAGAGAGUCAAGUAGAAGACCCUCCCCACAAUAAGCUGGGAUCCAGAAGAGCCUCACCCUCAGAAGUAAACCAGCCCCAGCAUGGACUUGCAGCCAUAUCUUGUGUCCCCUGGGAUGGUCUGUAAUCUCAAACCUUGAACUUUCAAUGAGGUGACCCGAGAUCAUUUAUGCCUUGGGAAUCCUGAAAGAAGCAACUGGAAAUCUUCUGAGGAAGGCUCCCUCAGCCUAGAUUCCACAUUAGUCACGCAAAUAAAAUCUCAAGCACAUGGUGAAAGAUAAUCAAACACAUGAGGAAACGAAACCCCAUGACAAGAACCAGAAGAAACAGGAGACAACAAAGAGCAUAAAGAAUUUAAACACCGGAAUUGUUUUUACAUAGAAUAUACAACAGAUAUGCUUAAACAAGAGAUUAGCUUGAAACCGGAACUAUAAAAAGUGACUGUAGACUUGAAAAAAGACAAACUUGAACUUCUAGGAUUGAAUAAUACAGUAAUUAAAAUUUAAAAGCUAAAACACAAGUUUAAACCUGCCCAUAGACAAAAAGAGAAUUGGCAAGUUGGAAGGAAAGUCAGAAAAAAUGAUCCAGAAUGAGCAUGACGAGAUGGUAGAGUUAAGAAAUACAGAAGAAAUGGUAAAAGACAUGGAGAAUCAAUGGUAAUCAACAUUUAUCACUUCUUUGACUGAAACUUACAAAGAGAUAAGAGAGAAUGGGGAAGAAAUGAUAUUUGAAGGACCAAUGGCUGAAAAAUUCCGAGGUCUGAUUAAACAUUGAUCUACAGAGUAUAAGGCCAAACAAAUCCUAACCUAGGUACAUUUAAAAAAAUAGGCUCAGAAAAAGCUACAUGCUAUGUGAUUCCGACUAUGUUGCAUUCUGGAAAAGGUGAAACCAUAGAGACAAAAAAUUUCUAGGGGUUGCCAGGGGCUUAGGGGAAGGAACAUGAAUGGGUGAGCUCAGGGAACCCUUAGGGCUGUGAGACUAUGGUGCAUGGUGCUAUAAUGGGCCAUGCACUGAACUUAAAACCACUAUAAAAAAUAAAAUGUUAAUUUAAAAAUUUUUUUCACCUAGACAUAUCAUGGUGAAACAGCAGAAUACCAGGGACAAAGAGAAAAUCUUAAAAUCUCCCAGGAAAAAAGACAGAUUAUCUUCAAAGGAGCGAGGUAGGCUGAGCACUGAUAUUGCAAGAGAAUUCAUUCCCACAAGUUAAACAAGGAAAGUUUUAUUUUAGGUCACAGUUUGUAAAGGUUUCAGUCCAUAGUUAUCUGGCUCCAAGG
Molecule: non-coding RNA, 2323 nt
Organism: Heterocephalus glaber (naked mole-rat)
Lineage: Eukaryota; Metazoa; Chordata; Mammalia; Rodentia; Bathyergidae
Source: RefSeq, a predicted model, not a curated record